GACGAACGCUGGCGGCGUGCCUAACACAUGCAAGUUGAGCGACGAACCAGGGCUUGCCCUGGGGCAAAGCAGCGAACGGGUGAGUAACACGUGGGUAACGUGCCCCGAUAACCGGGACAACCCGAGGAAGCUCGGGCUAAUACCGGAUGUGCCCACCCAGACAUCAGUCUGGUGUGUAAAGGAAGCUUCGGCCUCCGUAUCGGGAGCGGCCCGCGGCCCAUUAGCUUGUUGGUGAGGUAACGGCUCACCAAGGCAACGAUGGGUAGCUGGUCUGAGAGGACGAUCAGCCACACUGGGACUGAGACACGGCCCAGACUCCUACGGGAGGCAGCAGUGGGGAAUCUUGCGCAAUGCGCGAAAGCGUGACGCAGCAACGCCGCGUGGGGGAA
Molecule: ribosomal RNA, 389 nt
Filed under: uncultured bacterium
Lineage: Bacteria
Description: bacterial SSU rRNA
Rfam family: Bacterial small subunit ribosomal RNA
Source: RNAcentral